UAGCGUAUAUUAAAGUUGUUGCAGUUAGAACGCUCGUAGUCGGAUUUCGGGGCGGGUCGACCGGUCUGCCGAUGGGGAUGCACUGGUCGAUGCGUCCUUCCUUCCGGGGACCGUCUCACUCUUAACUGAGCGGAGGCGGGAGACGGAACGUUUACUUUGAAAAAAUCAGAGUGUUUCAAGCAGGCAGCUCGCUCUUGCAUGGAUUAGCAUGGGAUAAUGAAAUAGGACUUUGGUGCUAUUUUGUUGGUUUCGAACACCGAAGUAAUGAUGAGAAGGGACAGUCAGGGGCACUCGUAUUCCGCCGAGAGAGGUGAAAUUCUCAGACCAGCGGAAGACGAACCACUGCGAAAGCAUUUG
RNAcentral lists this ribosomal RNA (357 nucleotides) under Haptophyta environmental samples. Its description in RNAcentral is "SSU rRNA". It matches the Rfam family "Eukaryotic small subunit ribosomal RNA", at positions 595 to 957 of the family's 1831-position model. The record is from RNAcentral. Lineage: Eukaryota; Haptophyta.